GCAACUUAAACAAGAUCUUGCAUCAACCGGGUGGAAUGAAUCCCUUCAAAAACACUGCAAUGAACUUAUACAAUGCGAAGGUGUAGAAAGCCUAAAUUUAGAGGAUGUGACAAAUAGACUCACUCCAAUUGCUCAUCAGAUCGUUCCUGCUUCAGCUAAAGAACAUUUGUUACAAAAUAUUAAAAAUGCCCUAAUAGAUCAGGGAUACGAAGAUUUACUCACUUGAUUUAUAACACGUGUUUCUUUAUUUUUAAAUAUCUGCACUUAACUAGGAAA
This is a long non-coding RNA of Octopus sinensis (East Asian common octopus), 276 nucleotides long. RefSeq lists it as uncharacterized. Lineage: Eukaryota; Metazoa; Mollusca; Cephalopoda; Octopoda; Octopodidae. The record is from RefSeq and is a predicted model, not a curated record. The transcript is spliced from 2 exons.